This is a non-coding RNA of Rattus norvegicus (Norway rat), 69 nucleotides long. The record is from Rfam. Lineage: Eukaryota; Metazoa; Chordata; Mammalia; Rodentia; Muridae.
GGGGAUUUGGCUCAGUGGUAGAGCACUUGCUUAGGAAGCGCAAGGUCCUGGGUUCGGUCCCCAGCCCCG